GGAGAGUUCGCAUAGUGGUCGAGUGCGCUCGCUUGGAAAGCGAGUAAACCUUAAUCGGUUUCGGGAGUUCGAAUCUCCCACUCUCCG
This is a non-coding RNA of Candidatus Falkowbacteria bacterium CG1_02_41_21, 87 nucleotides long. The record is from Rfam. NCBI's taxonomy places the organism in Bacteria, Candidatus Falkowiibacteriota.